AUUGAACGCUGGCGGCAGGCUUAACACAUGCAAGUCGAGCGGAGAUGAGGUGCUUGCACCUUAUCUUAGCGGCGGACGGGUGAGUAAUGCUUAGGAAUCUGCCUAUUAGUGGGGGACACCAUUCCGAAAGGAAUGCUAAUACCGCAUACGUCCUACGGGAGUAAGCAGGGGAUCUUCGGACCUUGCGCUAAUAGAUGAUCAUAAUUCGGGUUAGCUAGUUGGUGGGGUAAAGGCCUACCAAGGCGACGAUCUGUAGCGGGUCGGAGAGGAUGAUCCGCCACACUGGGACUGAGACACGGCCCAGACUCCUACGGGAGGCAGCAGUGGGGAAUAUUGGACAAUGGGGGAAACCCUGAUCCAGCCAUGCCGCGUGUGUGAAGAAGGCCUUAUGGUUGUAAAGCACUUUAAGCGAGGAGGAGGCUACUGAGACUAAUACUCUUGGAUAGUGGACGUUACUCGCAGAAUAAGCACCGGCUAACUCUGUGCCAGCCGCCGCCGUAA
This 501-nucleotide ribosomal RNA is filed under the name uncultured bacterium. RNAcentral describes it as "partial 16S ribosomal RNA". It matches the Rfam family "Bacterial small subunit ribosomal RNA", at positions 30 to 523 of the family's 1533-position model. The record is from RNAcentral.